RNAcentral lists this ribosomal RNA (764 nucleotides) under Vibrio cholerae HC-81A1. RNAcentral's name for it is "bacterial LSU rRNA". It matches the Rfam family "Bacterial large subunit ribosomal RNA", at positions 1 to 821 of the family's 2925-position model. Lineage: Bacteria; Pseudomonadati; Pseudomonadota; Gammaproteobacteria; Vibrionales; Vibrionaceae. The record is from RNAcentral.
UUAAGUGACUAAGCGUACACGGUGGAUGCCUGGGCAGUCAGAGGCGAUGAAGGACGUACUAACUUGCGAUAAGCGCAGAUAAGGCAGUAAGAGCCGUUUGAGUCUGCGAUUUCCGAAUGGGGAAACCCAACUGCAUAAGCAGUUACUGUUAACUGAAUACAUAGGUCAACAGAGCAAACCGGGGGAACUGAAACAUCUAAGUACCCCGAGGAGAAGAAAUCAACCGAGAUUCCGGUAGUAGCGGCGAGCGAACCUGGAUUAGCCCUUAAGCACUCGGUGAAGUAGGUGAACAAGCUGGAAAGCUUGGCGAUACAGGGUGAUAGCCCCGUAACCGACGCUUCAUCGAGCGUGAAAUCGAGUAGGGCGGGACACGUGAUAUCCUGUCUGAAUAUGGGGGGACCAUCCUCCAAGGCUAAAUACUCCUGACUGACCGAUAGUGAACCAGUACCGUGAGGGAAAGGCGAAAAGAACCCCUGUGAGGGGAGUGAAAUAGAACCUGAAACCGUGUACGUACAAGCAGUAGGAGCACCUUCGUGGUGUGACUGCGUACCUUUUGUAUAAUGGGUCAGCGACUUAUAUUCAGUGGCAAGGUUAACCGUAUAGGGGAGCCGUAGCGAAAGCGAGUCUUAACUGGGCGCUCAGUCUCUGGAUAUAGACCCGAAACCGGGUGAUCUAGCCAUGGGCAGGUUGAAGGUUGAGUAACAUCAACUGGAGGGCCGAACCGACUAAUGUUGAAAAAUUAGCGGAUGACUUGUGGCUAGGGG